This is a non-coding RNA of Carica papaya (papaya), 906 nucleotides long. The record is from RefSeq and is a predicted model, not a curated record. NCBI's taxonomy places the organism in Eukaryota, Viridiplantae, Streptophyta, Magnoliopsida, Brassicales, Caricaceae.
GGGAACGGCCGAGGUCAUGCCAUGCUAGUCUUUUGUGGCAGAUUGGACGGUUGAGAGAGGAAGACUUAAAUCUAAUGGUUUAAACUGUCUCUAAUUUAAUGGCCACGAUCGAACCAUGACCACUGUAAAAUGGGGAUAAGAUUGAAAAAAUAAAGGCAGAAAACUUUAAAUCGGUAAUCUAGGACUUGUGGAUGGAAGAGAGAAGAAGAAGAGAAUUUAGUAGCCAGAACGCCUCGCAUGACAGUCGCAGGCACCACUGUGACGAGAGAUCUGUGUGCAUUUUGUGCGUGUGUGGCAGCAUAAGUGAAGAAAAGAGAGUCAAGCCAUAAACUCUCUAUUUUAUCUAAGAUAUCGAGAAGAUGCAAGGAUUUUGAUUGAAAUCCAGCCACUGACGAGAGGGGUUCGAAAGAGGACUAACACUGCAACCUAAUACUAUUACUCGGGAGCAGGAUGUAAGUUAAAUUUGUCUUUCACAACACAAAUAGAAAUUACAUACUGAAUUAGCAUUGUGUUAGAAUUAUGAUUUUGGGUGUUGAAAUGACUUGGAUUUUGUGUGGGGGGUGGUUGUUAUGAUAGAGCUUAGAGAGGAUAAUCAAGUGGACAGUGAGGGUGAAUAAAGGAGCCAUUAGAGGUCGGAUAUGAGAAUUGCUUGGUGGAAAUUAGUGAAGUAGAAAGCAAGAAAAACAAAAGAAAAAAAAUAGAGAGAUGGGAGAGGCUAGGGAUGAAAUCGGAUAGGAGAUAAAAAUCGAGCUAGCCAGGACGAGAAAAAUGAGAGAUCCAUUAGAGCAGAAGGAGAGUUCAAUACGUGAAAAGAAAAAAAAAAAAAGAGAAGAUACCGUAAGAGUUUCUGCGAGCUUUAAUGUGUAGGAAUAGAGUAUAGAAUGGAAUUGGUUUCUGUGUUCAAAA